CUCACUCCACAGACAUUAUGACGGCGUCCAGAUCCUCCGCCAUUUUCCUACACAGAAGGUCAUAGGAGCGCAUCUCUGCAAAACACAAGCGAGGAAUCAUGGAAAAACUGUAGCAUGUUGUUUCCUGCGAUGGCUAUGACUGAUGCAAUAAGCAAUAAAUUAAUUGAUCAUGUAAUAAAUUAAA
Molecule: long non-coding RNA, 184 nt
Organism: Poecilia latipinna (sailfin molly)
Lineage: Eukaryota; Metazoa; Chordata; Actinopteri; Cyprinodontiformes; Poeciliidae
Exons: 2
Source: RefSeq, a predicted model, not a curated record